Molecule: ribosomal RNA, 685 nt
Filed under: Bacillus licheniformis
Lineage: Bacteria; Bacillati; Bacillota; Bacilli; Caryophanales; Bacillaceae
Description: bacterial SSU rRNA
Rfam family: Bacterial small subunit ribosomal RNA
Source: RNAcentral
ACCGCGGGGGGGGCCAAUAAUGCAAGUCGAGCGGACCGACGGGAGCUUGCUCCCUUAGGUCAGCGGCGGACGGGUGAGUAACACGUGGGUAACCUGCCUGUAAGACUGGGAUAACUCCGGGAAACCGGGGCUAAUACCGGAUGCUUGAUUGAACCGCAUGGUUCAAUCAUAAAAGGUGGCUUUUAGCUACCACUUACAGAUGGACCCGCGGCGCAUUAGCUAGUUGGUGAGGUAACGGCUCACCAAGGCGACGAUGCGUAGCCGACCUGAGAGGGUGAUCGGCCACACUGGGACUGAAACACGGCCCAAACUCCUACGGGAGGCAGCAGUAGGGAAUCUUCCGCAAUGGACGAAAGUCUGACGGAACAACGCCGCGUGAGUGAUGAAGGUUUUCGGAUCGUAAAACUCUGUUGUUAGGGAAGAACAAGUACCGUUCGAAUAGGGCGGUACCUUGACGGUACCUAACCAGAAAGGCACGGCUAACUACCUGCCAGCAGCCGCGGUAAUACGUAGGUGGCAAGCGUUGUCCGGAAUUAUUGGGCGUAAAGCGCGCGCAGGCGGUUUCUUAAGUCUGAUGUGAAACCCCCCGGCUCAACCGGGGAGGGUCAUUGUAAACUGGGGAACUUGAGUGCUUAAGAAGAGAAGGGAAUUCCACGUGUAGCGGUGAAAUGGGUACGGAUGGAGA